GCUUUCAAUUCUCACAAUGUUUAUUUUACCAAAUCUACUAUUGACGUGUUACGCCAGAUUUAAGUACUUUCUGACAUUAAUCACAUAAAAGAUCGCGAAGAAGUUUCUUUAUGUUGUAAUAAUAAAAAUGUGUAUAUCUUUUUUAUGAAAAAUCGCUGAAAAGCUCGCACAAAUUAGUGCAGAGUUCAGCAUUGUUAUAAACUGUUCAGUACCUAUGUAUGCAAGUUCUCAUAGAACAAAGUUAUGUUUUGUGUUUCUAGACAGCUUAUUUAGACUGCAGGACCCUGAGCUCGCCCUUCAAGUUCAGGGGUUUGAUGCGCUAAGAAUCGGAACUCGGAAACGUACCCUGGACCAUGUCGUCUUGGAUCAUAAUCUCCUAGUUCAGCUGUAAUAAAAAUAAUAAUUGUUUAAAAAUGCUACACAAUUCCAACAUUUUAGCGGAAGUGGAUCACUAAGCUACUUGUGAGGGAAAACGGCGGAUGUAAAGAGAAAAGAACUGCCAUGUUUGGGAGACUAGAAAAAACUAAGGGCGUGAGUGAUGCUGACACUUAUUUCCCGUCGUUUAUCUUUUUUUUCAGCUUCGGAAAUCGCAUCUGGUGAAUUUGUGAAAAAGAUUCUUCCCUAAUAUAUGAAGAUACAAAAUAUUUUUGGUACGAUACGUUUUCACAUAUGUGAAUCAUUACGGCGAUUUCAUUUAUAACACUUAAAUCUAUCCCAUAUACGAACUAAGACUAGAAUAUUAAGUUGCUUUUAUUUUUAAAAUACAACAUGACUUUUUAUUUUAAUUAUCCUAAAAAGUCAAAGGCUUUUUAAAUGUGAGACAAUAAAGUAGCUUAUUUUUAUCGCAAUAUUUAAGA
Molecule: long non-coding RNA, 857 nt
Organism: Pieris brassicae (large cabbage white)
Lineage: Eukaryota; Metazoa; Arthropoda; Insecta; Lepidoptera; Pieridae
Exons: 3
Source: RefSeq, a predicted model, not a curated record